AAUCAACGCUGGCGGCGUGCCUCAGACAUGCAAGUCGAACGAUUAAAGCUCUCUUCGGAGAGUGCAUAGAGUGGCGCACGGGUGAGUAACACGUAAGUAAUCUACCCUCGAGUGGGGAAUAACAGUCGGAAACGACUGCUAAUACCGCAUAAUGCAGCGGCACCGCAAGGUGACAGUUGUUAAAGGAGCAAUCCGCUUGAGGAGGAGCUUGCGGCAGAUUAGCUAGUUGGUAAGGUAAUGGCUUACCAAGGCUACGAUCUGUAUCCGGUCUAAGAGGACGGUCGGACACACUGACACUGAAUAACGGGUCAGACUCCUACGGGAGGCAGCAGUCGGGAAUUUUGGGCAAUGGGCGAAAGCCUGACCCAGCAACGCCGCGUGAAGGAUGAAGUAUUUCGGUAUGUAAACUUCGAAAGAAUGGGAAGAAUAAAUGACGGUACCAUUUAUAAGCUCCGGCUAACUUCGUGCCAGCAGCCGCCGUAA
This 483-nucleotide ribosomal RNA is filed under the name uncultured bacterium. RNAcentral's name for it is "partial 16S ribosomal RNA". It matches the Rfam family "Bacterial small subunit ribosomal RNA", at positions 32 to 523 of the family's 1533-position model. The record is from RNAcentral.